GUGGGUACAGCUCAGGGGUAGAGCACUUGCCUAGCAUGUAUGAAGCCCUGGGUUCGAUUCCUAGUGCCCCA
This 71-nucleotide transfer RNA is filed under the name Marmota marmota marmota (Alpine marmot). It matches the Rfam family "tRNA". Rfam says of the family: Transfer RNA (tRNA) molecules are approximately 80 nucleotides in length. Their secondary structure includes four short double-helical elements and three loops (D, anti-codon, and T loops). Lineage: Eukaryota; Metazoa; Chordata; Mammalia; Rodentia; Sciuridae. RNAcentral also lists the same sequence under 4 other names. The record is from Rfam by way of RNAcentral.